AAGACACUGGUAUAAAGAAAACACACCGCUUUGUCAAGGCGGAGUUGCGGGUUAAAUACCCGCGUGUCUUA
This 71-nucleotide transfer RNA is filed under the name Neodontobutis hainanensis. Its description in RNAcentral is "tRNA-Asp". It matches the Rfam family "tRNA". Rfam says of the family: Transfer RNA (tRNA) molecules are approximately 80 nucleotides in length. Their secondary structure includes four short double-helical elements and three loops (D, anti-codon, and T loops). The record is from RNAcentral. Lineage: Eukaryota; Metazoa; Chordata; Actinopteri; Gobiiformes; Odontobutidae.